GCGAGCUGGGUUUAGAACGUCGUGAGACAGUUCGGUCCCUAUCCGCUGUGCGCGUAGGAGUCUUGAGAAGGGCUGUCCCUAGUACGAGAGGACCGGGACGGACGAACCUCUGGUGUGCCAGUUGUCCUGCCAAGGGCAUGGCUGGUUGGCUACGUUCGGGAGGGAUAACCGCUGAAAGCAUCUAAGCGGGAAGCCUGCUUCGAGAUGAGGACUCCCACCCACUUGAUGGGGUAAGGCUCCCAGUAGACGACUGGGUUGAUAGGCCGGAUCUGGAAGCCAGGUAACUGGUGGAGGUGACCGGUACUAAUAGGCCGAGGGCUUGUCCUCAGUUG
This 332-nucleotide ribosomal RNA is filed under the name Streptomyces lavendulae. RNAcentral's name for it is "partial 23S ribosomal RNA". It matches the Rfam family "Bacterial large subunit ribosomal RNA", at positions 2600 to 2925 of the family's 2925-position model. Lineage: Bacteria; Bacillati; Actinomycetota; Actinomycetes; Kitasatosporales; Streptomycetaceae. The record is from RNAcentral.